GGCCGUGGAAUCUGUAGCGCGUGCCGCGGCGAGGUCCCUGGGCGACGCUGGCGAUGAGUAACGCAUCUGAGGGACCAUUCCGGCACCGCACAGUCGAUACCAUCACGCAAUGACCCUCACUCGUCUACGAGCUCGCCACAGGUGUCGAAGUCACUCAUCGUGUCUCGCUCUCGGAAAAUUUCGCCCUCCACGAUCUCAUGUAAUAUUCGACCUCGUCGGCUCAACUCCGCGGAGGGGUUCGCCACGUUUUUGCAGCGUGAACAGAAAGUUUUUGGGAGGAGGUCGCAAAUCAAUCUGAACAAGUAGACACCGUUCCAACGAAUAACCGAAAAAAUUGGUCUCGAAUAUCUUCUGUUCGUUGGAAUUUCGACGAGAGCGUAGCUCAACUGACCCACAUUGGACUUUACACACCAAGAAUAGUGAUUACCAAAUUCUGGUGUAUGAUCAAAACUUACUGAUCUUUUUAUUUAUUUUCGUCCGUAAAACAUCUAAUCCAAACAAAUGAAACGACGGAUAAUCCGAACGGAGAGUGUGUAGCCCGUCAUAUCGUCCAGACUGCGACAGGUAAUUCCCAGAUUUCACAAUGCCUCAGGAUCAUCUAAGUAAUUAAAUUGUUAUCGUGCUUGAGUGUUUUGGGGUAGAGUUAGUACAUACUGAAGCAAUUGGAUCAACCAAUUUAAUAAUUAAAUAAUUAAUCAAUGUAGAGUUUUACUUCUUAUAAAUAGAUAGCGUUAACCCUCUAUUGCAUGAAUUAAUUUUGGAUCACGGAUUCUGAAAUACACAAUUUUUCUGAAGGAUCUUUGAAAAAAUUGUGUCCCAAAUUCUUUUUUUGGGUGGGAGGGGGCUCUUCCCCCCAAAUGGCCCCCCAAAGUGGUAGUUACAUAUAUGUAGGUCCAUGCAACUUUGAUAAACAAAUUAAAAAGAGAAAUUUCGUGAGAAAUUAUGUGAUUCCAUGCGACUUUGGUAAAAACCCUAAAAAGAGAUGUUACAUGAAGUACAUGCGUACGUACAUUUCAUUGAAAAAAAGAAAAUAUCAGUCUUAGGAGAGAUUAGAUAUUAGGAAAACACUUUUUUGCCGGCAUAAAUCAAAUUAUGGGUGAAUAUUAGCUAUAUGUUUAUUUUUAUUGGCCACAGUUGAUUGCAUGGAAUGACAUAUAUGUAAUUUGCCAUUUUCGCUACCAGAGCUAGUUGCAUGAGAUCACAUAUAUGUUAUUUGAUUUUAAAUUAAUUUAUUAAAAACCCAUUUUGCAUCUAAUAUAUUCUGUUGUCACAUAAAAAACUACAACGUGAGGUGCAAAUGCACAUAUGUUUUUCAUUGUCAUACGACCACUCUAACCAACCUAAAUCCUGCGCCGAAAAUGCGUUUGCGGAGCCGACCUCCGCUGACCGCGGUCGCCGAAUUAAAACACGUUUUAACUUAAUUUAGCAACACUGGAGUGGGUCCACUAUUUUUAACCAAUAGAAUUCAACCUUGAGCUUGCGUAGGUACAUUCAGAAACAUUUUGCGCGCGUGCAGAAUUUUUAAAAAAUGAAAAUACGUUAAUUUACAUACAUGUAGACAUAUGCAAUAGAGGGUUAAGGAAACUAGCCACUAUGACAUCAGGACUUAUUUUAAAAGAGAUUAUUUAGUGAGCGGGAAGGGUUUCAUAAUGUAUAUGAAGGCUUUAUUUGGGAUGGUUUCAUACAAAACGCGUCAUGCCGAUUAGAAUAUUAAUAAAAGUUGAAUAGCUAGUUGAGUGAUCUUGAGCAGUUAUAGAACGUCUUUCCUUCUAUACUUUUGCAGAAGUGACACUUCUAAAUUAUGAUUAAGCAGGAAUUACAUUAAGCAACUGGGUCGUAUCUACAGGAGGAUUAAAAACUCUUAAAAGACGAGAGUAAAAUGGAGCUUUUAGUGGUUUUCAAGAGUGCUAGGCUCUACAACCAACCAGAUGAUAAGAUGAUUAAUAAAGGCCUAUUAAUUGUUGUCAAUAGAAAAAUGUUGAGUCCGAAAGUGAAAAAGAAAAUAGAAUCAUCCGAAACCAAGCCUCCAUACAAAUGAAUUUCAUCAAAAUUCUUCCGCCAAACAGACAUUUUCCCCCUAAAAUUAACGUGAUUCACCGAAAAAAAAGAAGAUGCUGUAGUAACAUCCCGAAUGUUACGGUUGUUAAAAAAAUGUGCGACAACUCUUGGAUGUUGCUAUUAACACUCUGGCAGUUAACGUAGCAUGAUAGAAUGUAAAAGUACCAUCCUAGGAUGUUACUUUAACAGCCAGAGUGGUAAUGACAACAUCCAAGAGUUUGUCGCACAUUUUUCUUACAUCCAGGAUGUUACUACAGCACCUCUUUUUUUUCGGUGUUGGAUUGCCUAUCAAACUGAAAUUUCAUUGCACAUUUAUCCUUGACCGAUACUGCUUGAACAUGUUUUUCUCUCAGUUGUGAGGUCCAAUUGAACAUAUCUCUGCCAAACGGAGCUACCGACGAGUGGGAAAGAUGGGAUGUGCCCGUUGAAGCUGCAUAAGGAACAAUGUUAAAGUGGUCGUGAUUCCCUUUGGAGAAAUGAAAAAGCGGAAUUUUACACUCAAUCAAACGGUACUAAGCGCCAACAGAAUGCGACACCCAUGAGCCAUGGGCAUAGGACAAAAGCCUUGUGGACAGAGCUCAUGAGUUAAUGACCCCGUCCCGUCCCUGAGCCGCGGCGGCGGUUUCGUCGCUGCAUGCUAAGGUCACUGGCGUUUUCUAAUACCCAGUUAUUUUAUGGCCCUCGACUAACUAGCACACCCUUUCUUUCCCACCUUUCUAUAGUUCUGUGUGGCAGAAAUGCGUCCAAUGGAGAUUUUGCAUGUGUGAGGAAUUUGCGAUUUGACUGUUGAUUCUUAUGCAAAAGUUCGCGAGAAAACGAUGGUGCCACUGGUUUUCUCUGAAAUCAACUCCAAAGCCCAAAAAAAGCUCUCAAGUUGAGGCUACAAUGGAGGUGAUAUCCCACCCUACCCUGAGAGUCCACGUCUACAUCAAGACAAACUCUCCAUGCAAAGAUAGGGAGCAAAUUCAUUGACAGGGUUGCCGUUUUUUCAGUUUGGAGUCCCCAAAUAAAGUGGCAGCCCUGUCAAUGUAUUUCUCCCUAUCUUUGCAUGGAGAGUUUGUCUUGAUGUAGACGUGGACUCUCAGGGUAGGGUGGGAUAUCCCCUCCAUUUUGGCCUCAAAUUGAGAGCUUUUUUUGAGCUUAGGAGUUGAUUUCAGAGAAAACCAGUGGCACCAUCGUGUUUCUCGCCAACUUUUACAAAAGAAUUAAUUGUCAAAUCGCAAAUUCCUCACACAUGCAACACCUCCAUUGUAGGAACCAUUUGGAACUUCAUUGCGACUUCACCUCUAUAGAAUUUUCCUUGAGAACGCUUUUUUCUCGGGUCUGUACAUCGACCUGAGAUUUCACUACAAUUUUGCAAAUAGAAAAUAUCAUUUGGACGUAUUUCUAUCAAACAGAACUAUGUGCCGGGGAAAGAUGGGGUGUGCUCGUUUGGUGCUCGGGCCAUAAGAAUGAAUGAUAAUAUACAGCGCCAGUGACGAAGCCGCCGCCGCGGUGCCGUUCGACCGUCUUUAACUCAUGAGCCCUGUUCACAACGCUCUAGAUACAUGCCUACGGCUCAUACACUGCGCACAUAGUUCCGUUGACAGAACGUGAAAUCCCGCUUCUCAAAUUCAGCAAACAGAACUGUGAGGCAAACUAAGUGCGGCGCCCAUUUCAAGCAUGCUUUCCUCUUCAGGUGUGUGAAUUUGAAGCGGGUGAAGAUGCUGCAGCGA
This 3773-nucleotide long non-coding RNA is filed under the name Bemisia tabaci. RNAcentral describes it as "lncRNA ENSSWEETPG000521". Lineage: Eukaryota; Metazoa; Arthropoda; Insecta; Hemiptera; Aleyrodidae. The record is from RNAcentral.